AAGAAUCUUUCAUUAGUUCCUGAAACGGCGAGUGCAGACGUGUGAUGGGACGCCAAACAUCUCCAGGCCACACCCUGUGAAUAAAUAGAGGGAGCAGGACAAAGAGAAACGCACAGCGGGCAUUAGGCAUCGGGAGCUGAAGGAGCUGACAGUUGAUGAGCCUCCGAUAAGCAGGAGACAGGAGAAGUAAACGUCAGAGAUACGAUCCUGAUCUUGGAGACGUCUUCUUUCCUUUUCCCGUUAAGUUUAUCCGCUGAGAUCAGCUGACAAAUGAAAACUGCGCUCACUCCGUCUUA
Solea solea (common sole) is the source of this 296-nucleotide long non-coding RNA. RefSeq lists it as uncharacterized. The record is from RefSeq and is a predicted model, not a curated record. NCBI's taxonomy places the organism in Eukaryota, Metazoa, Chordata, Actinopteri, Pleuronectiformes, Soleidae. The transcript is spliced from 3 exons.